Vidua macroura (Pin-tailed whydah) is the source of this 326-nucleotide long non-coding RNA. RefSeq lists it as uncharacterized. NCBI's taxonomy places the organism in Eukaryota, Metazoa, Chordata, Aves, Passeriformes, Viduidae. The transcript is spliced from 3 exons. The record is from RefSeq and is a predicted model, not a curated record.
GCCUGCCACCUUCACCAGCCUCUCAAUGGCUGCUGUGGGAAGGAUCUCUCUGGUUUUGGUGACCAUUACACAGCCAAAUGGGAAUCUCAUUCAGCUGGGAGCUCCUGGCCAGGCUGUGAAAGCAGCACAAGGGAUUUGGCUCUGAAAGGAGGUUCAGAGCAGCUGUGUGAUGACAAGUCACUUCUGCUUGGCACCUGUGCCCAUCUGCUCUUCUCCCUCAUCCAGGCACCCGUGCCCACCUGCCCUGGGAUGAGCUUUCCAUCAGUCCUCUUCUGAGCAGUCUUCAGAGUUCUGGGUUUUCAUGACUGUGUCAUUAAGAGGAAGAA